UGACAAUGCUGCUAAAUUUAAGGCUUGUUUCUCAAAACAUUCGCAGUUGCAAGAGCUUUUGCCUUGCCAGGCUUGAGAGCUGAUGCUGAUAAUUCCUUCCUUGGAUGUCUGAGCCU
Molecule: non-coding RNA, 116 nt
Organism: Triticum aestivum (bread wheat)
Lineage: Eukaryota; Viridiplantae; Streptophyta; Magnoliopsida; Poales; Poaceae
Source: Rfam